ACACCUAAAAGACUUCAGCUAAUCCUGACCGUUUUGAGCCAAUCAAUAGCCCAACCAACCACCAACACA
Molecule: transfer RNA, 69 nt
Filed under: Hypsiprymnodon moschatus (musky rat kangaroo)
Lineage: Eukaryota; Metazoa; Chordata; Mammalia; Diprotodontia; Potoroidae
Description: tRNA-Val
Source: RNAcentral